CCUACGGGAGGCAGCAGUGGGGAAUAUUGGACAAUGGGCGAAAGCCUGAUCCAGCCAUGCCGCGUGUGUGAAGAAGGUCUUCGGAUUGUAAAGCACUUUAAGUUGGGAGGAAGGGUAGUUGCCUAAUACGUAACUGUUUUGACGUUACCGACAGAAUAAGCACCGGCUAACUCUGUGCCAGCAGCCGCGGUAAUACAGAGGGUGCAAGCGUUAAUCGGAAUUACUGGGCGUAAAGCGCGCGUAGGUGGUUUGUUAAGUUGGAUGUGAAAUCCCCGGGCUCAACCUGGGAACUGCAUUCAAAACUGACUGACUAGAGUAUGGUAGAGGGUGGUGGAAUUUCCUGUGUAGCGGUGAAAUGCGUAGAUAUAGGAAGGAACACCAGUGGCGAAGGCGACCACCUGGACUGAUACUGACACUGAGGUGCGAAAGCGUGGGGAGACAAACGAGGUAUUAGACUACCGUAGGUACGUCCGACGACCGUAAACGAUGUACAACGUACGUCCGGUUAGGAACGUCCGUUAGGUACGUUACGUUUUAGGUUCGGUCGCGACGUACGUAACCGUACGUAAGUUAAGUUACGGUACCCGUCCGGUACGGGGUACGGGUACCGGGCCCGGACCGUAAACGGUUAAAACCGUUAACGAAACGGUAAGUUAGGACGGUCGUAGAGACGUCGACCGACGGACGACCGACGGAGGGAGGAGG
RNAcentral lists this ribosomal RNA (705 nucleotides) under uncultured bacterium. RNAcentral describes it as "bacterial SSU rRNA". The stretch from base 1 to 546 matches the Rfam family "Bacterial small subunit ribosomal RNA", at positions 338 to 873 of the family's 1533-position model. The record is from RNAcentral.